This 793-nucleotide ribosomal RNA is filed under the name uncultured bacterium. RNAcentral describes it as "bacterial SSU rRNA". It matches the Rfam family "Bacterial small subunit ribosomal RNA", at positions 43 to 832 of the family's 1533-position model. The record is from RNAcentral.
CGGAUCUUUAACAUGCAGUCGAACGGCAGCACGGACUUCGGUCUGGUGGCGAGUGGCGAACGGGUGAGUAAUACAUCGGAACGUGCCCAAUCGUGGGGGAUAACGUAGCGAAAGCUACGCUAAUACCGCAUACGAUCUAAGGAUGAAAGCGGGGGAUCGCAAGACCUCGCGCGAAUGGAGCGGCCGAUGGCAGAUUAGGUAGUUGGUAGGGUAAAGGCCUACCAAGCCGACGAUCUGUAGCUGGUCUGAGAGGAUGAUCAGCCACACUGGGACUGAGACACGGUCCAGACUCCUACGGGAGGCAGCAGUGGGGAAUUUUGGACAAUGGGCGCAAGCCUGAUCCAGCAAUGCCGCGUGCAGGAUGAAGGCCUUCGGGUUGUAAACUGCUUUUGUACGGAACGAAACGGUCCUUUCUAAUACAAGGGGCUAAUGACGGUACCGUAAGAAUAAGCACCGGCUAACUACGUGCCAGCAGCCGCGGUAAUACGUAGGGUGCGAGCGUUAAUCGGAAUUACUGGGCGUAAAGCGUGCGCAGGCGGUUAUGUAAGACAGAUGUGAAAUCCCCGGGCUCAACCUGGGACCUGCAUUUGUGACUGCAUAGCUAGAGUACGGUAGAGGGGGAUGGAAUUCCGCGUGUAGCAGUGAAAUGCGUAGAUAUGCGGAGGAACACCGAUGGCGAAGGCAAUCCCCUGGACCUGUACUGACGCUCAUGCACGAAAGCGUGGGGAGCGAACAGGAUUAGAUACCCUGGUAGUCCACGCCCUAAACGAUGUCAACUGGUUGUUGGGUCUUC